This 491-nucleotide ribosomal RNA is filed under the name uncultured bacterium. Its description in RNAcentral is "partial 16S ribosomal RNA". It matches the Rfam family "Bacterial small subunit ribosomal RNA", at positions 28 to 507 of the family's 1533-position model. The record is from RNAcentral.
GAUGAACGCUGGCUACAGGCUUAACACAUGCAAGUCGAGGGGAAACGACGGGGAAGCUUGCUUCCCCGGGCGUCGACCGGCGCACGGGUGAGUAACGCGUAUCCAACCUGCCUCUGACUGAGGGAUAACCCGUCGAUAGUCGGCCUAAUACCUCAUGGUAUCGUCUGCGGGCAUCCAACGACGAUUAAAGAUUUCAUCGGUCAGGGAUGGGGAUGCGUCUGAUUAGCUUGUUGGCGGGGUAACGGCCCACCAAGGCUACGAUCAGUAGGGGUUCUGAGAGGAAGGUCCCCCACAUUGGAACUGAGACACGGUCCAAACUCCUACGGGAGGCGGCAGUGAGGAAUAUUGGUCAAUGGGCGAGAGCCUGAACCAGCCAAGUAGCGUGCAGGAAGACGGCCCUAUGGGUUGUAAACUGCUUUUAUGCGGGGAUAAAGUGAGGGACGUGUCCCUCAUUGCAGGUACCGCAUGAAUAAGGACCGGCUAAUUCCGUG